CCAAACUGGCCACUGGCCGAUGUCCAGUUGUGGCCGGAGCUGCGAUUGGCCGAGUGUGCGCGCAGAGGAGCCGUUGGCCAGUGUCCAGUUGGCCGAGUCCAUCCUGCGGCGGGCGCGUCGUGCCGGCGCCGCUCUCUGUCCGUCUCUGACCCUGCACCCCUCCCUUGGGACGGGCGAGCCGGGGACACCCCAAAUCCGGGGUGUCCCAAAUCCGGGGUGUCCCAAAUCCGGGGUGUCCCAAAUCUGGGGUGUCCCAAAUCCGGGGUGUCCCAAAUCUGGGGGUGUCCCAAACCUGGAGAGUCCCAAACCUGGGGGCACCCCAAAUCUGGGGUGUCCCAAAUCCAGGGUGUCCCAAAUCUGGGGGCGUCCCAAAUCUGGGGUGUCCCGAAUCUGGAGUGUCCCAAAUUUGGUAUCCUAAAUCUGGGGUGUCCUGGAUCUGGGGAUAUCCCAAAUUGGGGUGUCCCAGUUCUGGGGGCACCCCAAAUCUGGGGUGUCCCGAAUCUGGGGUGUCCCAGCUUCAGGGGUACCCCAAACCCAGGAGUGUCCCAAAUUCGGAGUGUCCCAAAUCUGGGGGCACCCCAAAUCCGGGGCUGUCCCAAAUCUGGGGUGUCCCAAAUCCGGGGUGUCCCAGCUUUGGGGGUGUCCCAAAUCUGGGGUGUCCCAAACCUGGGGGCAUCCCAAAUCUGGGGUGUCCCAAAUCUGGGGUGUCCCAAAUCUGGGGUGUCCCAAAUCCAGGGGUGUUCCAAACCUGGGGUGUCCCAAAUCUGGGGAUAUCCCAAAUUUGGGUGUCCCAGCUCUGGGGGUACCCCAGAUUUGGGGGUAUCCCAAAGUCAGGGCUGUCCUGGCUCCGGGGGUACCCCAAACCUGGGGCUGUCCCCCUCCAGGGGUGUCCCCGCUCCGGGGGUGUCCCCGUUUUGGGUGUCCCGGUUCUUGGGAUAUCCCGGCUCUGGGUGUCCCCGCUCCGGGGGUGUCCCCGUUUUGGGUGUCCCGGCUUCGGGGAUAUCCCAAACCUGGGAUAUCCCAAACCCAGGAUAUCCCAGACCCAAGGGUGUCUCUGCUCCGGGUGUCCCAGCUCCCAGGAUAUCCCAGACCCGGGGGUGUCCCAGCUCUGGGUGUCUCUGCUCCGGGGGUGUCCCAGCUCCGGGUGUCCCCAGCUCCGGGUGUCCCCAGCUCCGGGUGUCCCUGCUCCGGGGGUGUCCCAGCUCCCAGGAUAUCCCAAACCCGGGGGUGUCCCAGCUCCGGGUGUCUCUGCUCCGGGUGUCCCAGCUCCGGGUGUCCCUGC
RNAcentral lists this long non-coding RNA (1282 nucleotides) under Cyanistes caeruleus (blue tit). Its description in RNAcentral is "lncRNA (ENSCCEG00000008251.1)". Lineage: Eukaryota; Metazoa; Chordata; Aves; Passeriformes; Paridae. The record is from RNAcentral.